ACCAGGCAUGGUGGUGCGUGCCUGUUGUCCCAGCUACUCUCGGGAGGCUGAGACUGGAGGAUCAGUUGAGUCCAGGCGUUCUGGUCUAUAGUGCGCUGUGCCAAUCAGGUGUCCACACUUGGCAUCAGUAUGGUGACCUCCUGGGAGCAGGGGCCAUCAGGUUGCCUAAGGGGGGGUUAACUAGCCCAGGUUGGAAAUGGAGCAGGUCAAAACUUCCAAGCUGGUCAGUAGUGAGAGCUUGCCAGUGAAUUGCCACUGCACUGCAGCCUGGGCAACACAGCAAGACCCCUGUCUCUU
Molecule: non-coding RNA, 297 nt
Organism: Otolemur garnettii (small-eared galago)
Lineage: Eukaryota; Metazoa; Chordata; Mammalia; Primates; Galagidae
Source: Rfam